AAAACAAAACAAAACAAAAAAAAAAACCACAUCAGGUCCUCUCGCCAUCAGAUUUUUUUCCGUUCAGCCUAUGGAGCAGCGGUCUCCAAAGUGGAGCGUGCACAAGGCAGUUCCAUGGGGGUGCAGGAACGAAGCGCUGUUAACAGUGGAACCUGCCGGCCGACGCCGGGCCCCGCGGAGGAAGGCGGAGGGCCCCGCGGAGGAAGGCGCAGGGCCCCGCGGAGGAAGGCGCAGGGCCCCGAGGAGGAAGGCGCAGGGCCCCGCCUGCCGCCAGAGGGCACCCGCGGCCUCCGCCGCUCCGCUCGGCCCGGCUGCGCUGCAGGCGUGAGGGAAAGGGAACAGUGCUGUGCCCUCGCAGAGGAUAUUAUAAUACCUCAGUUGGAUAUCAAAUAAUAACAGCUCUGAUACAUCUAAUGCUGGAACCACUGAUUGUGAGAUUCCCAGCAAAGUGAUGGAACUAUCUGAAUGCAAAAUCUGGAUGGCAAAAGGUCAUGGAGUCCCAUUCAUCCAUUUCACUUGCCCUUCCUUUCACUAGAAAUGGAAGUCCCCGGCUUCUUAAAUCUAUUGCUCUCAAAAGGCUCCUGGCUACAGUAAUGAAGAUGAAGAAUAUGACUCCUGAGGAAGGUGAGGAACUAUUUGGAUUGCUUGGUAUUUUUUUUUCUACCUCCUUUCUCCAGUAUAUUUCACCUCAGCUGCAAAGACAGCAUCCUGAUUUCAUCUCCAUGAGAAAAAAAAAAAACUGAGUGGAGAAAGGUGUCUGUUUUGGUUUUUUUUUCUCAUUACCACUUUAAGAAUUUUCAAAGAAAGCAGGCCCUUUCACCAAGAAAUGCUUCAAGUUUUGAGCUAUGUGCAAACACUUGAGAAGCCAGUGAUCUGCUUUGCAGCAAAAGCGUAAGGGAUAAGCACUUUCUGAGAAGUAAACCACCUGCAGUUUACACUGGAAACAA
Molecule: long non-coding RNA, 947 nt
Organism: Pseudopipra pipra
Lineage: Eukaryota; Metazoa; Chordata; Aves; Passeriformes; Pipridae
Exons: 2
Source: RefSeq, a predicted model, not a curated record